Molecule: ribosomal RNA, 2361 nt
Filed under: Escherichia sp. KTE114
Lineage: Bacteria; Pseudomonadati; Pseudomonadota; Gammaproteobacteria; Enterobacterales; Enterobacteriaceae
Description: bacterial LSU rRNA
Rfam family: Bacterial large subunit ribosomal RNA
Source: RNAcentral
UUUAUGGGGUGACUGCGUACCUUUUGUAUAAUGGGUCAGCGACUUAUAUUCUGUAGCAAGGUUAACCGAAUAGGGGAGCCGAAGGGAAACCGAGUCUUAACUGGGCGUUAAGUUGCAGGGUAUAGACCCGAAACCCGGUGAUCUAGCCAUGGGCAGGUUGAAGGUUGGGUAACACUAACUGGAGGACCGAACCGACUAAUGUUGAAAAAUUAGCGGAUGACUUGUGGCUGGGGGGGAAAGGCCAAUCAAACCGGGAGAUAGCUGGUUCUCCCCGAAAGCUAUUUAGGUAGCGCCUCGUGAAUUCAUCUCCGGGGGUAGAGCACUGUUUCGGCAAGGGGGUCAUCCCGACUUACCAACCCGAUGCAAACUGCGAAUACCGGAGAAUGUUAUCACGGGAGACACACGGCGGGUGCUAACGUCCGUCGUGAAGAGGGAAACAACCCAGACCGCCAGCUAAGGUCCCAAAGUCAUGGUUAAGUGGGAAACGAUGUGGGAAGGCCCAGACAGCCAGGAUGUUGGCUUAGAAGCAGCCAUCAUUUAAAGAAAGCGUAAUAGCUCACUGGUCGAGUCGGCCUGCGCGGAAGAUGUAACGGGGCUAAACCAUGCACCGAAGCUGCGGCAGCGACACUAUGUGUUGUUGGGUAGGGGAGCGUUCUGUAAGCCUGUGAAGGUGGCCUGUGAGGGUUGCUGGAGGUAUCAGAAGUGCGAAUGCUGACAUAAGUAACGAUAAAGCGGGUGAAAAGCCCGCUCGCCGGAAGACCAAGGGUUCCUGUCCAACGUUAAUCGGGGCAGGGUGAGUCGACCCCUAAGGCGAGGCCGAAAGGCGUAGUCGAUGGGAAACAGGUUAAUAUUCCUGUACUUGGUGUUACUGCGAAGGGGGGACGGAGAAGGCUAUGUUGGCCGGGCGACGGUUGUCCCGGUUUAAGCGUGUAGGCUGGUUUUCCAGGCAAAUCCGGAAAAUCAAGGCUGAGGCGUGAUGACGAGGCACUACGGUGCUGAAGCAACAAAUGCCCUGCUUCCAGGAAAAGCCUCUAAGCAUCAGGUAACAUCAAAUCGUACCCCAAACCGACACAGGUGGUCAGGUAGAGAAUACCAAGGCGCUUGAGAGAACUCGGGUGAAGGAACUAGGCAAAAUGGUGCCGUAACUUCGGGAGAAGGCACGCUGAUGCGUAGGUGAAGCGGUUUACCCGUGGAGCUGAAAUCAGUCGAAGAUACCAGCUGGCUGCAACUGUUUAUUAAAAACACAGCACUGUGCAAACACGAAAGUGGACGUAUACGGUGUGACGCCUGCCCGGUGCCGGAAGGUUAAUUGAUGGGGUCAGCCGCAAGGCGAAGCUCUUGAUCGAAGCCCCGGUAAACGGCGGCCGUAACUAUAACGGUCCUAAGGUAGCGAAAUUCCUUGUCGGGUAAGUUCCGACCUGCACGAAUGGCGUAAUGAUGGCAAGGCUGUCUCCACCCGAGACUCAGUGAAAUUGAACUCGCUGUGAAGAUGCAGUGUACCCGCGGCAAGACGGAAAGACCCCGUGAACCUUUACUAUAGCUUGACACUGAACAUUGAGCCUUGAUGUGUAGGAUAGGUGGGAGGCUUUGAAGCGUGGACGCCAGUCUGCGUGGAGCCGACCUUGAAAUACCACCCUUUAAUGUUUGAUGUUCUAACGUGGACCCGUGAUCCGGGUUGCGGACAGUGUCUGGUGGGUAGUUUGACUGGGGCGGUCUCCUCCUAAAGAGUAACGGAGGAGCACGAAGGUUGGCUAAUCCUGGUCGGACAUCAGGAGGUUAGUGCAAUGGCAUAAGCCAGCUUGACUGCGAGCGUGACGGCGCGAGCAGGUGCGAAAGCAGGUCAUAGUGAUCCGGUGGUUCUGAAUGGAAGGGCCAUCGCUCAACGGAUAAAAGGUACUCCGGGGAUAACAGGCUGAUACCGCCCAAGAGUUCAUAUCGACGGCGGUGUUUGGCACCUCGAUGUCGGCUCAUCACAUCCUGGGGCUGAAGUAGGUCCCAAGGGUAUGGCUGUUCGCCAUUUAAAGUGGUACGCGAGCUGGGUUUAGAACGUCGUGAGACAGUUCGGUCCCUAUCUGCCGUGGGCGCUGGAGAACUGAGGGGGGCUGCUCCUAGUACGAGAGGACCGGAGUGGACGCAUCACUGGUGUUCGGGUUGUCAUGCCAAUGGCACUGCCCGGUAGCUAAAUGCGGAAGAGAUAAGUGCUGAAAGCAUCUAAGCACGAAACUUGCCCCGAGAUGAGUUCUCCCUGACUCCUUGAGAGUCCUGAAGGAACGUUGAAGACGACGACGUUGAUAGGCCGGGUGUGUAAGCGCAGCGAUGCGUUGAGCUAACCGGUACUAAUGAACCGUGAGGCUUAACCUU